UCAUGGCUCAGGAUGAACGCUAGCUACAGGCUUAACACAUGCAAGUCGAGGGGCAGCAUGACGGAAGCUUGCUUCCGUUGAUGGCGACCGGCGCACGGGUGAGUAACGCGUAUCCAACCUGCCCUUGUCCAUCGGAUAACCCGUCGAAAGGCGGACUAACACGAUAUGCAGUUCACAGCAGGCAUCUAACGUGAACGAAAUGUGAAGGAGAAGGAUGGGGAUGCGUCUGAUUAGCUUGUUGGCGGGGUAACGGCCCACCAAGGCGACGAUCAGUAGGGGUUCUGAGAGGAAGGUCCCCCACAUUGGAACUGAGACACGGUCCAAACUCCUACGGGAGGCAGCAGUGAGGAAUAUUGGUCAAUGGGCGAGAGCCUGAACCAGCCAAGUAGCGUGCAGGAUGACGGCCCUAUGGGUUGUAAACUGCUUUUAUACGGGGAUAAAGUGAGUCACGUGUGGCUUAUUGCAGGUACCGUAUGAAUAAGGACCGGCUAAUUCCGUGCCAGCAGCCGCGGUAAUACGGAAGGUCCGGGCGUUAUCCGGAUUUAUUGGGUUUAAAGGGAGCGUAGGCCGUCUGUUAAGCGUGUUGUGAAAUGUCGGGGCUCAACCUGGGCAUUGCAGCGCGAACUGGCAGACUUGAGUGCGCAGGAAGUAGGCGGAAUUCGUCGUGUAGCGGUGAAAUGCUUAGAUAUGACGAAGAACUCCGAUUGCGAAGGCAGCCUGCUGUAGCGUAACUGACGCUGAAGCUCGAAAGCGUGGGUAUCGAACAGGAUUAGAUACCCUGGUAGUCCACGCGGUAAACGAUGGAUGCUCGCUGUUUGCGUCUGACGUAAGCGGCCAAAGGAAAGCGUUAAGCAUCCCACCUGGGGAGUACCCCU
This 875-nucleotide ribosomal RNA is filed under the name uncultured bacterium. RNAcentral's name for it is "bacterial SSU rRNA". It matches the Rfam family "Bacterial small subunit ribosomal RNA", at positions 17 to 887 of the family's 1533-position model. The record is from RNAcentral. RNAcentral also lists the same sequence under 1 other name.